Molecule: long non-coding RNA, 458 nt
Filed under: Mus pahari (shrew mouse)
Lineage: Eukaryota; Metazoa; Chordata; Mammalia; Rodentia; Muridae
Description: predicted gene 13790 (MGP_PahariEiJ_G0005308.1)
Source: RNAcentral
GCCUUCUCUCCAGCUCUGCUCCUCCUCCUGGCUGGGGAACAAGAAUGGGGUGGAGGGGUGGGGGGCCGAGGGGGACAGGUGUCCAGAAACCUGGGGUUGGACUCUGAAGUCCCCUCCCCCCCAAAGGUGUCCUGUCUGAGUUGGGCAUUCCAGGAAAUCAUUCCUUCCCUUCUUCAUUCUUUCAGUCAAUCGACAAACACUCCCCAGUGCCAUUCCAGUACGAAACUCCUGACCUGACUGAGGACCAUGAACUUAGGGAGCCGCUGACAUUAGAACUUGAGCCCUGGGGCUUCCUAGCUGGGGCCUUCUGAAGGUCACCGUCCUCAGUUGUGGAAAGUGGCUUCAGGACGGCACCCAAACGAAUUUAAAGGUGAGAAACACAGGGUCCCAAGAAGGCUGCAUCGCCCCUUGGAUCAAAUGACAAAGACCAGGGCCUGGCAAGGCGGCAAGGGAAGCUG